GACUGUGGCUCUGAUUUGACCCUUAGCCCGGGCACCUCCAUAUGCAGUUAGUACAGCCUAAAGAGACCAAAGGGGAAAAAAAAAAGAAGAAGAGAAAAGAAAGUGUGGUGACAGCCUAGAGAGGUUGGGGGGAGGGUUUCUUCCACGAGAGUGAUCACUAGGGGUUCACUGUUUGGAGAAACGACACCUGAUCUGAAAGUUAAACCAGGUCUUUGGAAAGCAAGCUUCGGAAGUGGGUGCCAGGAAGGAAGUGCUGGGGACACCACUGCUGUGGAGGGUCCAGGAGGUCCCCUCUGUUGGCCUGGAGGCCAGUGUGGGAGGAAGGGCAGAAGGCAGAGAGGGAGUGAAAAGGAAGACAGGCUGGAUCUGCUGGCCACGGCCGUUCCCCCGCAACCACAUCUGGCCACGACAGCCUUUGGGACGGCAGCAGCCACCACUCCCUGAGGCCUCUCCUCUUUUGCCCCUCUGACCUGGACCACACAGGGAAGGGGAGACUGGGAAAUGGAACCACCCAGCAGACUCCUUGGAAGCUCAGCACGUGCACACACUUUGACUUUAAACCCUGGUUAACUUCCCAAUCCAAACAAAGGCAAAACCAGGUAUCCCCGCCAAGACCAGCUAAUCUCUCGGAAGAGACUGAUGAAAGUUUCGUUUCACUUCGUCCAUCUUUGGGUGGCACUGGCUCUAACGGGAUAAGCUGCUGUCUUUGAGAAUGUUAAGAGGGUUUGUGAGUUAAUAACACAAACACCGACGUGUAAGAUUAACCGAUAUUCACAUAUGCUAGAUAAAAGGGGGAGGGGGCGGGUUGAACAAGUGCCCACGCGCCCUGCAUGAAGCUAAGGAAGGGGCUCUCGUCACUGCAGCCAUGUGGCCAUAGCUGGUACUCACCACCGCCUUCUUCCUCUGCCCGCUGCUCGCUCUGUGUCAGCCAGCGCCUCAGCUGGUCGUGGUUCUCUGUCUGGUGGAGUGCCUGGAGAGGGGCUGUGCCUGCAGUGGGUGGUUCUGUUUCAGGUCAUUUUCUCUGCCCAAGGGGCGUUCAGAAACCCUAGAGCAUCUCCCGCCUGCCAGACUCUUGCCUCCGUGCUCAGUUCUGCAAUAGAAACUCAGCCCUCCCUUCCGUGACCAGCCACCUGGCCACCUGGCUGCCAACUUCCAGUCCAGUGUGCCCCCUGGUGGAAGCACUCUAGGGCUUGCCCAGGACCGAGGGGUUUCCUAGGAUGUGGCAUAUUCAGUUUUGAACCCAGGAAAGUUCUGGGCAAACCAGGAGAGCUGGGCCCCCUAAUGCACUCCUGCUUUGGCAUCUGAGACUGCUGGGCCAGCGUAGCUGAGUGGCAGGGAUGGGAAGCCAGCAAUUCACCGUGGACCUACUCGUUUCACCCUCCAAUACCUGCACCCCGGGACUGCUGAUUGAGAAAACCUAGAAGGCAUCACCCCAGCUCCACCGGUUGACGCCCAGCCAGCUCCCAACCAAGUCUUCCAGAGGCCAGUCCACUCUCUGUCCACCGUUCUACCAGGCCGGCUGCUUCAGGGAGAUGGGAGUGUGCAGGACCACUGGGCCCUGUGAGCAUGGACCCGCUGCUGCACUUCUUUUGCUGUGAGGCCCAGAGUCAGCCGUUUCCUUAAGGAACCUGGUUCCUGUCUUAGCGACCACCAUCUGGGAGACAGAUGUGAUGGAUUACAUUUAUUGAUUUUAAAAAUAUUGAAUCACCC
Molecule: long non-coding RNA, 1710 nt
Organism: Sus scrofa (pig)
Lineage: Eukaryota; Metazoa; Chordata; Mammalia; Artiodactyla; Suidae
Source: RefSeq, a predicted model, not a curated record